Non-coding RNA from Dipodomys ordii (Ord's kangaroo rat), 70 nucleotides. Lineage: Eukaryota; Metazoa; Chordata; Mammalia; Rodentia; Heteromyidae. The record is from Rfam.
GGGAAUGUGGCUUAGUGGUAGAGCGCUUGCCUAGCAUGCAGGAAGCACUGGGUUCAAUUCCUCAUUAUCA